UACAGAGGCCUCAAGCGUUGUUCGGAUUCAUUGGGCGUAAAGGGUGUGUAGGCGGCGCGCUAAGUCGGGUGUGAAAUUUCGGAGCUUAACUCCGAAACUGCAUUCGAUACUGGCGUGCUUGAGGACUGGAGAGGAGACUGGAAUUCACGGUGUAGCAGUGAAAUGCGUAGAUAUCGUGAGGAAGACCAGUGGCGAAGGCGGCUCACUGGCCCGAUACUGACGCUGAGGCACGAAAGCGUGGGGAGCAAACAGG
This 253-nucleotide ribosomal RNA is filed under the name uncultured bacterium. Its description in RNAcentral is "partial 16S ribosomal RNA". It matches the Rfam family "Bacterial small subunit ribosomal RNA", at positions 524 to 776 of the family's 1533-position model. The record is from RNAcentral.